GUGCCUGUAUUAGGUGCUGUGAAUAAUAAUUAUCUGUCCAUACAUACAGCAUACAGUUCAUUGUUGGUAUGUGGAAAUGGAUUCAUUGAUGGCAUCUCAGUUUGGCCAAAGUUUAAAGCCUACACGCCUUCGCCUGACGCACUGCUCUGGGUUGUCAUCGAAUGAUACGUAGGCUUCUAAGUGAUGUAUGUAGAAGGCUCUGUGUAGGAUAUGUUCGUGUUCUAUGUGGGGUUGCCAACUGGCCUGUAAAAAUGAUUCUUCGUCAGUGUUUUAAUAGGGUAUAACAGAAAACGCUGCGACUAAAUGUACCACGUGUCUUCGCCCUAAGUGUUGGACUGGCUUUACAGAGAUAAGCAAAGAAUUAGAUCUGCUUGGCUAGCACCAGAAAGGCGCAUUUUCAGCUAAUGUACUGAGUUGAAGUUUUAGCUUUUAUAUGGUAGAUGGCGCCCUUUUACCAAUAAAAGAAAGUGAAAUGUA
Molecule: long non-coding RNA, 477 nt
Organism: Xenopus tropicalis (tropical clawed frog)
Lineage: Eukaryota; Metazoa; Chordata; Amphibia; Anura; Pipidae
Exons: 2
Source: RefSeq, a predicted model, not a curated record